RNAcentral lists this long non-coding RNA (1307 nucleotides) under Dromaius novaehollandiae (emu). RNAcentral's name for it is "lncRNA (ENSDNVG00000003221.1)". Lineage: Eukaryota; Metazoa; Chordata; Aves; Casuariiformes; Dromaiidae. The record is from RNAcentral.
CUUUCUGUAUUUCUUCUGCCCCUUCCAUUUUUUGUGUCGCAGGAGCGGACGGGCGAUGGCUCCCGUUCCUGCAGCCCAGCUGGGCCGGCCGAGAGUCACCAGAGAGAGCUGCUCUACCAUUUCCAACCCCUUCUCUCAGCAUCUGAAAUACAAAUGUGAAGAAAAAGACCCUUUGCAGUUGGGUUUGGUUUGCCUGUCACUAGCAGGAAUCUGGUUGCCGCACAGCCGGCUGGCAGGGCUGAGUUUAAAGGCCUGGCGCGUGGCCGUCAAGGGCAGUGGGUUUGAGACUCGCAGCAGGCUUUUGGCCAGCUGCAGGUAGCCGUUUAUCCGGCUGCUCAGCUCCAGGGGGACACCUGCAGCCGGUGCCUCCAGUGCAUCUCCGGAGGGAAUGGGUUUCAUUUCCUYCUGCACCAAGGAGGGGAGCACCGGGUCUUCCUACGCACUGGGGGAGCAGGGUCUGCCCUUUCCCAGGGGGAAGAACGACGGUGGUGAUCUACGUUUCCCUUAGCAGUGCAUGUGUCCCGGUGCCCAGGAACGGCCAGCCACGUGCAGCGCAGGAGCCUCCAGCCCACGGAGGAGAGGGCCGGGCUGCCUCARCGCGCCCCAAGGAAGAGCCAAGAGGCUGUCAUGAAACUGGGCUCUUCUCCACACUAAUUGUACGCUGGGGACCAAACUUAGCCUGGUGCAACUCUGCCAAAGCCACCGGGGAUUCGUUUGGCCUCUGGUGGCUCCAUUGUUUCAGCYGAGUGAGUCAGAAGCAGCAGCCUGUUCUUAUCUGCGCGCAGUGGGGCACUGACAGCUACGGCUCUGCGAGGGCCCCCAAAAGCGGCGUGACUCGGCCCCGCGAUCGGGGCGGCCGCGGAGCGAGCGGGGCCGCAAGAGGAAACGCUUUGACAUUUGCGUUAUGGAUGGAGGCAGGUUCGGUGUGGGUGCGCUCGCGGCGCUCGCCGCCGCUGCAGGCGGAGGGGAAGGCGAUGGCGAGGUUCCCUCAAUAUUCAGUCGCACCGGCUGGAGUUCCUCAAUUUUUCGGCCGCCCGAGAGGGAAGCUGUGGCUCUGGAGCGGGCACGUGGUGUCGAAGGGGACUUCACGCUGCUUCCCAGCCCGAUUUAUGGCUGGGAUACCCUGCUGCACCAGCAGCCGUACGGCACGGCGCGGAGACUGUCUGCCUGUCGUCGGCUCUGGGAGGUGCGGGCCAGGGGGAGCAUGGGGGCCUUUGUGCCACCCCAGCCCCUGAAGGGUUAAAUAAAUACAUUAAAAUUAAUACAAACAGCUGAGGCGCCGCCUUUCCAAAAGUCACUGACUUGAG